Transfer RNA from Exidia glandulosa HHB12029, 82 nucleotides. It matches the Rfam family "tRNA". Rfam says of the family: Transfer RNA (tRNA) molecules are approximately 80 nucleotides in length. Their secondary structure includes four short double-helical elements and three loops (D, anti-codon, and T loops). The record is from Rfam. Lineage: Eukaryota; Fungi; Basidiomycota; Agaricomycetes; Auriculariales; Exidiaceae.
GACAACGUGGCGGAGUGGUUAACGUGCAUCCCUGCUAAGGAUGUGUCCUUUGGACGCGCAGGUUCGAAUCCUGCCGUUGUCG